RNAcentral lists this transfer RNA (69 nucleotides) under Acanthoscelides obtectus. RNAcentral's name for it is "tRNA-Met". Lineage: Eukaryota; Metazoa; Arthropoda; Insecta; Coleoptera; Chrysomelidae. The record is from RNAcentral.
AAAAAGGUAAGCUAAUAAAGCUAUUGGGUUCAUACCCCACUUAUGAAGAUUUCACUUCUUCUCUUUUUA